ACAAUAUUUGAUGAUGCUUAAGACAUUUGAACUUGAUAUCUAAUAGCAAGGGUCUUUCGUAUCCCAAGCGGUUAACACGGCUUAGUUAUGAACUCGAAGUCUUGUGUUUGAAGGCAGAGAACAUCUUGAAGACAAGGUGAUAAUGUAGAGAUGUCUGGAUCUAGUAAAAUUAAAACUCAUGGAGGGCUUUUUGACUACUGUCGCUUCUUUUUCUGAGAGAUGGAGGGCCGAACGAUUAGAGUUAGCGUGAGAAAGAAGACGGCAGCAGUGACUAGCCCCCUCCAUCCUCCCAGAUGGCAGUUAUUGCCUCUA
Molecule: long non-coding RNA, 312 nt
Filed under: Malus domestica (apple)
Lineage: Eukaryota; Viridiplantae; Streptophyta; Magnoliopsida; Rosales; Rosaceae
Description: long non-coding RNA (MDOM_LNC002165)
Source: RNAcentral